GGCGCCAUGGUGUAGUUGGUUAACACGCCGCCCUCUCAAGGCGGAGAGCGCGAGUUCGAGCCUCGCUGGCGCUA
RNAcentral lists this transfer RNA (74 nucleotides) under Acidobacteriota bacterium. RNAcentral describes it as "Acidobacteria bacterium tRNA-Glu". It matches the Rfam family "tRNA". From Rfam's summary of the family: Transfer RNA (tRNA) molecules are approximately 80 nucleotides in length. Their secondary structure includes four short double-helical elements and three loops (D, anti-codon, and T loops). Further hydrogen bonds mediate the characteristic L-shaped molecular structure. tRNAs have two regions of fundamental functional importance: the anti-codon, which is responsible for specific mRNA codon recognition, and the 3' end, to which the tRNAs corresponding amino acid is attached (by aminoacyl-tRNA synthetases). tRNAs cope with the degeneracy of the genetic code in two manners: having more than one tRNA (with a specific anti-codon) for a particular amino acid; and 'wobble' base-pairing, i.e. permitting non-standard base-pairing at the 3rd anti-codon position. RNAcentral also lists the same sequence under 1 other name. The record is from RNAcentral. Lineage: Bacteria; Pseudomonadati; Acidobacteriota.